RNAcentral lists this long non-coding RNA (2866 nucleotides) under Equus asinus (donkey). RNAcentral describes it as "lncRNA (ENSEASG00005030843.1)". The record is from RNAcentral. Lineage: Eukaryota; Metazoa; Chordata; Mammalia; Perissodactyla; Equidae.
GUUAGUAAACUUAGAAGCAGAAAGACUUCAGAUACUGAGGAAAACACUCAUAUAACCUAUAGCAUUCUUGAGAGAUCUUCAGUUUUCUUUUUAUUUGCCAGAUAAUUAACAUUUGGCUUAAUCUGAUUUGAUGGUUAUUUAGAUUUCUCCCUUGAGCAAAAUAACAUAAUUUUCAGGUCUAAGAUUCAUCUGUUUCUUGUUGAAAACAGAUGUGACAUGUUAAGGGAGACUAAGUUGAACCAAUCCUCAGAACCCAGUACAAAUAUAUCUAAUAAGUGCCCCCUUUUAAAUACAUUUUAAUUGGGAAGAGGAGACUGAUGGCCAUAAGGAGAAAGUAGAGGCUCCUGGUAGUGUUACCGGAGAGGAACUGCCAUCAGGUGGCCUUAGUUCAGUCAUAAGUGUUACUCUUGAAUUGCUGUUUGUAGGGGGAAUGUCAUUUAACCUUCGUGCCUCACAUUACCCAUUAGAAAAUUGGGUAUGAUAAUAUUCACCUACCUCCCAGGGAUAUCAGAGACUUUCAAAAAUAUUUUGUUUUUCUAAAAUGUCCUAUAUAAUUAAAAAAAGUAUUAUCAUCUUCCUGCAGAGGCUAAAAAAUGUUUCCCUAUGAUGGAUAUAAAAAGCACCAUAUGAUUUUUUAAGUUUAAAAAAAUCACUGGAAUUCUAAUUUAGAUGCAUAUUUGUUAUUUAAACAUAUUAUAUUUGUGGUGGGAUAAAAUGGUUAGUUUCAGGUUAAUAAGUGGGGGGGAAUAACACUAAGUUUCUUAAUUCUAAGUAGAUUUUUUUUAGACUUUUAUGGUGUUAUUACAUGUGUGAUUUUUGCCAGGAUUGUGGAGCUAAAGCUAGGUAAAGUGUGGGUGAUUGGUUAUUGGAGUUGAUAAAUGAUCCCAAAAGUUUUAUCUGCCUCACUUUUCCAUCUUCUCAAUUUAAUUUCCUUGUAUUACUUGUUCGGUGGUGGAUAGCUAAGCUUUUAACUUUCUGAGAAUGAGUGGGGUCGCCUCAUUCUUGUAAAUGAGAGAUUGUGUACUAUUCCUGUAACUUUCCGUUUAUCCAGCUUUGCACUGAAGGGAGCAAGCACUACACACAGUCAGAUGGGUACACUUUUUAGCCAGUCUACCUUUGUAAUUUAUGCUUCUUCAACCCAUGAAAGAGUUGGAGCCAUCAACUGCUCAGGUUGUAGGAAAAUGAGAGAGGGGAAGCAAGAUUCACUUUCUAGCUAGGGCAGGGGUAGAAGGAAACAUAUUUUGCCCAGCUCUGAGGAGGAAAUCAAGAUCAUUUUAUCCCACCUUCCAUCUCGACACAUUAAGUAGUAAUACAUAGAAGUUUCCUUACGUCAUUUAAAACAACAACAGGAAAAAGUGGAUACUGCAUUUUUAGUUAGGGCUAAAAGCUGAGCAACAAUUGCUGGGGGUGUGUGUAGAUUUAAAUUGUAGCACCUUAUUCAGGGUCAGGAAAGAGAAUGUAGGGGGAUGAGGAACAAAUUAUCCAUCGUAAGUGAGUCAGGAGAAAACACCAGGCCCAAGCAGACAGAGCAUCUAGGUUAAUUCCCAGAAUUGGCCAAGGCCCAUUUAAUCUCUAGUGAUAGGAUGUUUUUUCCUUAAAAAUCACUUUUUGGCAUUUUGUUGCUUUUUCCAGAUAAGGCCUUAGUUAGUAGCCUCUAAAUAUCAACUAUGCAGAUAAACAAACUUUAUUUUCUACAUUUUCUCUCAUUUUCCAUUCUUCAAAUAACAGAUGUUAAGACUUCUACCCAAAGAAAUAAAGCAUAAGGGUUUUGUUGAAUGUGUGUUCCUCAAGGGAAAAUUAACAGAAGCGUAAAAUAGAUAUUUUGUGUGUUCAUCUAUCCUAAAAUGUGAACUUUAUAUUGAAAAACUUAAAUACAGAUCCUUUCUCUGGUACAGAACUGUAGUUGGAACCAUGGCAUGUCUUUGGGUUGUUAUGAUAAAAUCAUCCCAGAGUUCAAUUCUGAGAAAGUUUUAGAUUCUGUGGCACAGUAUUCAGGUUUGUAGAGCUGAACAGAUGGUCAGACUCUAAUUAAAAAUAGCUUUGAAUAUUAAUGUUGAUUCUUCUUUCUUCAUUUCCUUUAGUCUUCAUUCUUCUUUCCUCUAGUGUGAGCUCUUAAGUUAACUGUUCGUCAACCAGUUGCUACAGUGGAAUAUGAAGUGCAUGUUAAGGGUCCGCAGAGGCAAGGUCACCCUGCCUUUCACCUGUUCUCUCUCACUUGGACCCUCUAUCCUGUGUCCCCAUUGAAUUCAAGGACAGACUGCAGGCGUUUUCCAGGAGACUGUUUACAUCCCCGCAUAGACACGGACAGGGACUCAUAGGAUUUCAGUCAGACUGCCUUUGAAUAAGCGGGUGAUGAAAUACAAGCUACCAGGAAACGGCUGAGAGGUUGAAUUCUUCUUCCCACUGCCAUCUUGCCUUUGCAUUCUCAGUGGUAACGCUUUCCCAACUUUGGGUGGUUUGGUGGUCUUUAGUUGUCAGAGAGCUCUUGUCACUAUUUUCUAUGAAGAAAGAAGGACAGGUAAAUUUUUUAACCAAAAAAUAUCACACAUUUCAUAAAACCCUGAUAAAUUUUGGUUAUGCUAGAGGUCUUAAACAUUCCUAAAUAGGGAUCUGUGAAUUUGGUAAAUUAAACCCAUGGAUAUACUCCUUCAGUGCAGGGAUUUUUUUUUUUCGCUUUUUUUUUCUUUUUUUUUUUUUGCAACAGCCUUGCUCAUAUUCCAGGUGUAGCUAGCAAACCCCUGUUUUAAAGCAGGAGCCUUAUUUGAUUCAGUGUAGAUGUUUCCUGUCUAUCCUUUGUGACAGGGCUUUUUACAUGAGUGUUUUUUCUUUUUGUAUGUGUUAUGUGUUUGUUGUAUUAAAUAAAGAG